RNAcentral lists this long non-coding RNA (1405 nucleotides) under Gallus gallus (chicken). RNAcentral's name for it is "long non-coding RNA NONGGAT007226". The record is from RNAcentral. Lineage: Eukaryota; Metazoa; Chordata; Aves; Galliformes; Phasianidae.
AAGAACUGUGGUAGGUGAGGGUCAUCAAGUUGUUCUAACUAUGAUCGUAAGUGCUAGCACAGCUGUAUUUUUGCUACAGGAGCCAAAGCAGACUGGAGAUGACAGAAAGCUUUGCUGCCACAAAAGUAAUCAUCCUGUUGCUUGUCCUCCUCGGGCUGGCAGAGCCUGAAGGCAGCUGGUUUCACUAAGGUGCAAACACCAGCUGCUAUUUACAGGGGAAACAUGAGCUGCCCUGGAGAAGCCUUGGUACAAACCCACCUUCCCACAGUUUGGCUGAUGCUGCAAAAACAGGAAGGGAAUGACUACAAUGCUAAAGUCACAGGACCCAGUGGGAGCAGAACACUGGAUAAGAGCUGGGCCUUUGAUAGGGGCAGCAAUACUAUAUCUGAUGUUAAGAUAAACUAAAAGCCUUCACGUCACGUAGAAGACAAAACCAACAGUUACAAGCUGCAUGUACGAGACUCACAGCUGGAUGCUAUACAUAUCAGUGCCUGGCAAAAGCAGUCUGAAGGAGCCCUUUCACAUCUUGUACAGCAUCAACAAAAAAGAUUUUUCUUUGGCUCUAAGUGCUACAAUUAGGGGCUCCAGUUCCAAUGUCGGUACAUCACUGUGAACUUCAGGAAAUAAAAGUGUAAAAGUUGUAAUUGCUUUUAUAACAGAAGACAACUGAUAAGGAAGAAGGAAAAUGAGUGAUUUAGGGUUAGAAUUUUGGAAACUUCUCCUGCUUCAUCUUUUAUUCAUACAUAAUCACAACACAGGAAAAGAAAAGAGCUCCCGAUAUGAGACAGUAUUAUAAGGUAAAAGUACCAGAAGUAGGUUAAAUAUUUAUUAAAUGCAGACUUGAACCAGAUUACUCUUUGGUGACAAUACAAAUGCAAUCUGUGCUUACAUACUAACAAGUGCAGCUUUCUAAACUGAAUUGAAGAUUCAGAGAUUCGUAUUUCUUUUUACAAAUAUGUUUAAAUAUAGCUUUAAUGUUUUACCAUAGCUUGCUCCAGUGGAACAACUUGCUGGCUAUGAAUCAUCCGAAUGUUGUUUGCGUGUCCUUUUAAGGCAUUUUCCAGUGCUCCUUUUGGCUGCAAAAAAAAAAAGGAUGCCCUAUUGUUCAAUAGUUUCAAACAAAGGAAAAAAUACAAACUGCAGUGCAAGUUGCACAGUAUUUGUUGCAGAAGAGCUGAUGCUAACAGGAUACGGCAAAUUGAACUCAACACAGAGAGGGGGAAAAAAUCGCCGUAUUAAUGAUUCAAAGCCCAGUAAUGAAAGCACACAUAUUAAACUGCUUCUCUGUCUGUAUCAUCACUGGUUUCAUAGAAGAGAAUUUCCAGAGUGCACUGAGUUAAACAGGGCAGAGGGAGCACCCCUCUGCUACUCUGCUCUGCUCCAGCCUGUCCCUGGUGCAGGGGUG